This is a long non-coding RNA of Sphaerodactylus townsendi, 557 nucleotides long. RefSeq lists it as uncharacterized. The record is from RefSeq and is a predicted model, not a curated record. NCBI's taxonomy places the organism in Eukaryota, Metazoa, Chordata, Lepidosauria, Squamata, Sphaerodactylidae. The transcript has 3 exons.
UUCUAAAACAAAAAUUAAAUUCCUCUGCACUCUGCAACAAAACUCAUAUCUAUAAUUUUCUUUACAGUUCAUCUUGGGAGAAAAAUUACGCCCAGACAUUUACCAAGAAAUUUCUACUGAUGAAAAUCCCCAGUUUAAUGAAAUAAUUAGGACUGCUCUAUAAUGAUUUCUUUCCUUACUUGGAAAUAUUUUCUGGACCUGUGCACCGACUCCUUCCUUUUUACCAGUAAAGGUACUAUUGUUUGGGUUGCUGCCAUAGUCUCUGGCAGUCUGCACUGUUGAUCUACUCCACACUAUCCACAUCUGUCAUUGUUGAACAUCAGUCUGUCUCUUUCCCUUAGAUUAUUGACUCCCUGGAUGUAAGAAGAACUUUGCUUUGGAUUUGGAUUUUUUGCCAGUACAUAUAGAUAGCUAUAGGUAGCCUUGCUUUUCCCACUUGCUCUGUCUCCCUAAGUUUUUGCUUGACUGAUAUACAUUACACACUAUAUGUAUAUGGGUGAGGGGAUGAGUGUGUGAAAAUAUUUGCAUUUUCAUGUGAGAUUUCAACCAUUAAAUGU